GAACGCUAGCGGCAGGCCUAACACAUGCAAGUCGAGGGGUAACAUUGGUGCUUGCACCAGAUGACGACCGGCGCACGGGUGCGUAACGCGUAUACAAUCUACCUUUUGCUAAGGGAUAGCCCAGAGAAAUUUGGAUUAAUACCUUAUAGUAUGCAGACUUCUCAUGGAGAUUGCAUUAAAGAUUACGGCAAAAGAUGAGUAUGCGUCCUAUUAGUUUGUUGGUGUGGUAACGGCACACCAAGACUACGAUAGGUAGGGGCCCUGAGAGGGGGAUCCCCCACACUGGUACUGAGACACGGACCAGACUCCUACGGGAGGCAGCAGUGAGGAAUAUUGGACAAUGGAGGCAACUCUGAUCCAGCCAUGCCGCGUGCAGGAAGACUGCCCUAUGGGUUGUAAACUGCUUUUAUACAGGAAGAAACACUCCCUCGUGAGGGAGCUUGACGGUACUGUAAGAAUAAGGAUCGGCUAACUCCGUGCCAGCAGCCGCGGUAAUACGGAGGAUCCAAGCGUUAUCCGGAAUCAUUGGGUUUAAAGGGUCCGUAGGUGGAUAAUUAAGUCAGAGGUGAAAGUUUGCAGCUCAACUGUAAAAUUGCCUUUGAUACUGGUUAUCUUGAGUUAUUGUGAAGUAGUUAGAAUAUGUAGUGUAGCGGUGAAAUGCAUAGAUAUUACAUAGAAUACCAAUUGCGAAGGCAGAUUACUAACAAUAUACUGACACUGAUGGACGAAAGCGUGGGUAGCGAACAGGAUUAGAUACCCUGGUAGUCCACGCCGUAAACGAUGGAUACUAGCUGUUGGGCUUCGGCUCAGUGGCUAAGCGAAAGUGAUA
Molecule: ribosomal RNA, 829 nt
Filed under: uncultured Algibacter sp.
Lineage: Bacteria; Pseudomonadati; Bacteroidota; Flavobacteriia; Flavobacteriales; Flavobacteriaceae
Description: bacterial SSU rRNA
Rfam family: Bacterial small subunit ribosomal RNA
Source: RNAcentral